Molecule: long non-coding RNA, 811 nt
Filed under: Equus asinus (donkey)
Lineage: Eukaryota; Metazoa; Chordata; Mammalia; Perissodactyla; Equidae
Description: lncRNA (ENSEASG00005032563.1)
Source: RNAcentral
GGGGAUAGAGACUGUAGAAGGCUGCAAAAUGUCACCCCCCCUGAGAUCCAUCCUUCCAGGUGGCCUCAUAUUUGUAGCAGAGGCCUUUUCUGUCUAAUCCAGACAAGCUUCACUAAGGGUAGUGAUUUGGGGCUGAAUAUGAGAAAAUAGUAAUCCCAAACCAUGCUAUUGGGGGUUCCUGGGGGAGGACAGGCCUUACCUACCCCAGCAUCCUUAUUUCUGAGUGGCAUUUUCAAGUCUUUGGUACCUUAUCAGAGAUGCUCUGCACUGGUUGGAUUCUUCCACCUCCUAACUCAAGGCUCCAAAGCUGCUUUUUCCUGGAUUCUGUAUAAAAAACAGCAACACAAACUGAAGAUACAUCUCCUCUGCAUUUCAAGACACCUGUGCUCUUAUCAAGAUCUAUUAGAAGAGCCGCAGAAUGAAGCCUGGAUGAGAAGAGCAGAGAGCAAAGAAUGUUUGCUUCAUCCUCUUCCCUUCCAAAGUAUUUCCAAGGGGAAAUGGCAGAUGAACAACACUUUUCUAGACUGGAAUGAUGAAAACAGCCAGAUUUCAGAUAUACCCGUGCAAGAGGCAGUGCUGACCUCAUGAAUCUUGCUUUUGCUGGUACUGUGUGGAACUAUGAUGAAAUGAAUGCAGUCUUUCAGAGCCAGGUUCCUAGAUAGCAACCACCUCGUACCUUCUUUUGACAGAGGGGAAGAUGGAGAGCCAGAAAGGGUGUGAGCUUUUCAAGAAGAUGGCUGGAGUUCAGAGCUGAGACCAGCAGUUCAGUCUCUGACUUGGAUCCAGUCCAUUGUCUACCACACUCUGCUGU